UAAUUGAAUUUAAAUAUAAUU
Molecule: non-coding RNA, 21 nt
Filed under: Caenorhabditis elegans
Lineage: Eukaryota; Metazoa; Nematoda; Chromadorea; Rhabditida; Rhabditidae
Source: RNAcentral